RNAcentral lists this ribosomal RNA (253 nucleotides) under uncultured bacterium. RNAcentral describes it as "partial 16S ribosomal RNA". It matches the Rfam family "Bacterial small subunit ribosomal RNA", at positions 524 to 776 of the family's 1533-position model. The record is from RNAcentral.
UACGGAGGGUGCAAGCGUUAUCCGGAUUCACUGGGUUUAAAGGGUGCGUAGGUGGGUUGGUAAGUCAGUGGUGAAAUCCCCGAGCUUAACUUGGGAACUGCCAUUGAUACUAUCAGUCUUGAAUACCGUGGAGGUCAGCGGAAUAUGUCAUGUAGCGGCGAAAUGCUUAGAUAUGACAUAGAACACCAAUUGCGAAGGCAGCUGGCUACACGGAUAUUGACACUGAGGCACGAAAGCGUGGGGAUCAAACAGG